Molecule: ribosomal RNA, 598 nt
Filed under: uncultured bacterium
Lineage: Bacteria
Description: bacterial SSU rRNA
Rfam family: Bacterial small subunit ribosomal RNA
Source: RNAcentral
CCUACGGGAGGCAGCAGUGGGGAAUAUUGGGCAAUGGACGAAAGUCUGACCCAGCGACGCCGCGUGAGGGAUGAAGGCCUUCGGGUUGUAAACCUCUUUCAGUAGGGAAGAAGCGAAAGUGACGGUACCUAAAGAAGAAGCACCGGCUAACUAUGUGCCAGCAGCCGCGGUAAUACAUAGGGUGCAAGCGUUGUCCGGAAUUAUUGGGCGUAAAGAGCUCGUAGGUGGUUUGUUGCGUCGGGUGUGAAAUUCAGGGGCUCAACCCCUGACCUGCACUCGAUACGGGCAAGCUAGAGUUUGGUAGGGGAGACCGGAAUUCCUGGUGUAGCGGUGGAAUGCGCAGAUAUCAGGAGGAACACCAAUGGCGAAGGCAGGUCUCUGGGCCAAUACUGACACUGAGGAGCGAAAGCGCGGGGAGCGAACAGGAUUAGAUACCCUGGUAGUCCGCGCCGUAAACGAUGGGCGCUAGUUGUGGGGACCUUCCACGGUUUCUGCGACGCAGCUAACGCAUUAAGCGCCCCGCCUGGGGAGUACGAUCGCAAGAUUAAAACUUAAAGGAAUUGACGGCUGAGACUACCAAGGCACGACAGGGGAUAGG